ACCUGGGUGGCUCAGUUAGUUAAGCGUCUGACUUCGGCUCAGGUCAUGAUCUCAUGGUUUGUGGGUUCAAGCCCCACAUCAGGCU
Molecule: transfer RNA, 85 nt
Filed under: Felis catus (domestic cat)
Lineage: Eukaryota; Metazoa; Chordata; Mammalia; Carnivora; Felidae
Also listed under: 2 other names
Rfam family: tRNA
About the family: Transfer RNA (tRNA) molecules are approximately 80 nucleotides in length. Their secondary structure includes four short double-helical elements and three loops (D, anti-codon, and T loops). Further hydrogen bonds mediate the characteristic L-shaped molecular structure. tRNAs have two regions of fundamental functional importance: the anti-codon, which is responsible for specific mRNA codon recognition, and the 3' end, to which the tRNAs corresponding amino acid is attached (by aminoacyl-tRNA synthetases). tRNAs cope with the degeneracy of the genetic code in two manners: having more than one tRNA (with a specific anti-codon) for a particular amino acid; and 'wobble' base-pairing, i.e. permitting non-standard base-pairing at the 3rd anti-codon position.
Source: Rfam by way of RNAcentral